CCCCUAGACGUUCUGGGCUGCACGCGCGCUACAAUAAUACGCACAGCGAGUAUCACCGAGCUCGAAAGGGCAAGGUAAACAAUAGAAAAGGUACUGUAAUGGUUAUAGAUCCUUGUAAUUAUUGAUCUUCAACGAGGAAUUCCUAGUAAGUAUGUGUCAUCAUCACGCACUGAUUACGUCCCUGCCCUUUGUACACACCGCCCAUCGCUCCUACCGAUUGGGUGAGCCGAUGAAACUCUCGGAUGUAGGCUAUUCAUAGCCCGCAGAAGAGAUUUGAAUCGUAGCGCUUAGAGGAAGGAGAAGUCGUAACA
This 311-nucleotide ribosomal RNA is filed under the name uncultured eukaryote. RNAcentral's name for it is "partial 18S ribosomal RNA". It matches the Rfam family "Eukaryotic small subunit ribosomal RNA", at positions 1470 to 1796 of the family's 1831-position model. The record is from RNAcentral.